GGAUUAGAUACCCUGGUAGUCCAUGCCGUAAACGUUGGGAACUAGAUGUAGGGCCUGUUCCACGGGUUCUGUGUCGUAGCUAACGCAUUAAGUUCCCCGCCUGGGGAGUACGGCCGCAAGGCUAAAACUCAAAGGAAUUGACGGGGGCCCGCACAAGCGGCGGAGCAUGCGGAUUAAUUCGAUGCAACGCGAAGAACCUUACCAAGGCUUGACAUAUACGAGAACGCUGUAGAGAUACAGAACUCUUUGGACACUCGUAUACAGGUGGUGCAUGGUUGUCGUCAGCUCGUGCCG
This 294-nucleotide ribosomal RNA is filed under the name uncultured bacterium. RNAcentral's name for it is "partial 16S ribosomal RNA". It matches the Rfam family "Bacterial small subunit ribosomal RNA", at positions 775 to 1067 of the family's 1533-position model. The record is from RNAcentral.